This 497-nucleotide ribosomal RNA is filed under the name uncultured bacterium. RNAcentral's name for it is "partial 16S ribosomal RNA". It matches the Rfam family "Bacterial small subunit ribosomal RNA", at positions 28 to 507 of the family's 1533-position model. The record is from RNAcentral.
GAUGAACGCUGGCGGCGUGCCUAAUACAUGCAAGUCGAGCGAACGGACGAGAAGCUUGCUUCUCUGAUGUUAGCGGCGGACGGGUGAGUAACACGUGGAUAACCUACCUAUAAGACUGGGAUAACUUCGGCAAACCGUAGCUAAUACCGGAUAAUAUUUUGAACCGCAUGGUUCAAAAGUGAAAGACGGUCUUGCUGUCACUUAUAGAUGGAUCCGCGCUGCAUUAGCUAGUUGGUAAGGUAACGGCUUACCAAGGCAACGAUGCAUAGCCGACCUGAGAGGGUGAUCGGCCACACUGGAACUGAGACACGGUCCAGACUCCUACGGGAGGCAGCAGUAGGGAAUCUUCCGCAAUGGGCGAAAGCCUGACGGAGCAACGCCGCGUGAGUGAUGAAGGUCUUCGGAUCGUAAAACUCUGUUAUUAGGGAAGAACAUAUGUGUAAGUAACUGUGCACAUCUUGACGGUACCUAAUCAGAAAGCCACGGCUAACUACGUG